GAGAAUGCAGACAUGAGUAGCGAUUAACCAGAUGAGAAUUCUGGUCGCCGUAUACCCAAGGUUUCCUGGGCCAGGUUCGUCCUCCCAGGGUUAGUCGGGACCUAAGGCGAGGCCGUAAGGCGUAGUCGAUGGACAGCAGUUCAAUAUUCCUGCACCGGCUUGGGGUUAGUUGACCGUGACGCGGUGAGAAAGGUGGCUAAGUCAUCGAAAGACAGAGCCUAGACUUCGGUCGAAGCGUACCACUGGACGAUCCGUCGAGAAAAGCGAGUUAACAUGUGCCCCUAGUCGCCCGUACCGCAAACCGACACAGGUGG
This 314-nucleotide ribosomal RNA is filed under the name Cyclophora tenuis. RNAcentral's name for it is "partial Bacterial large subunit ribosomal RNA". It matches the Rfam family "Bacterial large subunit ribosomal RNA", at positions 1290 to 1666 of the family's 2925-position model. The record is from RNAcentral. Lineage: Eukaryota; Bacillariophyta; Fragilariophyceae; Cyclophorales; Cyclophoraceae.